UACGUAGGGUGCAAGCGUUGUCCGGAAUUAUUGGGCGUAAAGAGCUCGUAGGCGGUUUGUCACGUCGGCCGUGAAAACUCGGGGCUCAACCCCGAGCCUGCGGUCGAUACGGGCAGACUAGAGUGCUGUAGGGGAGACUGGAAUUCCUGGUGUAGCGGUGAAAUGCGCAGAUAUCAGGAGGAACACCGGUGGCGAAGGCGGGUCUCUGGGCCGAUACUGACGCUGAGGAGCGAAAGCGUGGGGAGCGAACAGG
RNAcentral lists this ribosomal RNA (253 nucleotides) under uncultured bacterium. Its description in RNAcentral is "partial 16S ribosomal RNA". It matches the Rfam family "Bacterial small subunit ribosomal RNA", at positions 524 to 776 of the family's 1533-position model. The record is from RNAcentral.